AGGAGGAACAACCCCAGUGGUUGCUGCAGCUCUGGAAACCUGGAGUCAGCUCCCGCAGGAACUACUCAGUCUGCAGGGCCUGGAGGCUCCGGGGCGGG
RNAcentral lists this microRNA precursor (98 nucleotides) under Canis lupus familiaris (dog). RNAcentral's name for it is "mir-8834 microRNA precursor family". It matches the Rfam family "mir-8834 microRNA precursor family". Lineage: Eukaryota; Metazoa; Chordata; Mammalia; Carnivora; Canidae. The record is from Rfam by way of RNAcentral. RNAcentral also lists the same sequence under 1 other name.